GACGAACGCUGGCGGCGUGCUUAACACAUGCAAGUCGAACGGAAAGGCCCUGCUUUUGUGGGGUGCUCGAGUGGCGAACGGGUGAGUAACACGUGAGUAACCUGCCCUUGACUUUGGGAUAACUUCAGGAAACUGGGGCUACUACCGGAUAGGAGCUCCUGCUGCAUGGUGGGGGCUGGAAAGUUUCGGCGGCUGGGGAUGGACUCGCGGCUUAUCAGCUUGUUGGUGGGGUAGUGGCUUACCAAGGCUUUGACGGGUAGCCGGCCUGAGAGGGUGACCGGCCACAUUGGGACUGAGAUACGGCCCAGACUCCUACGGGAGGCAGCAGUGGGGAAUAUUGCACAAUGGGCGGAAGCCUGAUGCAGCAACGCCGCGUGCGGGAUGACGGCCUUCGGGUUGUAAACCGCUUUCGCCUGUGACGAAGCGUGAGUGACGGUAAUGGGUAAAGAAGCACCGGCUAACUACGUG
This 468-nucleotide ribosomal RNA is filed under the name uncultured bacterium. RNAcentral describes it as "partial 16S ribosomal RNA". It matches the Rfam family "Bacterial small subunit ribosomal RNA", at positions 28 to 507 of the family's 1533-position model. The record is from RNAcentral.